Molecule: ribosomal RNA, 301 nt
Filed under: uncultured bacterium
Lineage: Bacteria
Description: partial 16S ribosomal RNA
Rfam family: Bacterial small subunit ribosomal RNA
Source: RNAcentral
CAGUAGCCGCGGGAAUGCAGAGGAUGCAAGCGUUAUCCGGAAUUAUUGGGCGUAAAGGGCUCGCAGGCGGUUUCUUAAGUCUGAUGUGAAAGCCCCCGGCUCAACCGGGGAGGGUCAUUGGAAACUGGGAAACUUGAGUGCAGAAGAGGAGAGUGGAAUUCCACGUGUAGCGGUGAAAUGCGUAGAGAUGUGGAGGAACACCAGUGGCGAAGGCGACUCUCUGGUCUGUAACUGACACUGAGGAGCGAAAGCGUGGGGAGCGAACAGGAUUAGAUACCCCAGUAGUCCCUGUCUCUUAUAC